RNAcentral lists this long non-coding RNA (386 nucleotides) under Homo sapiens (human). RNAcentral's name for it is "HSALNT0320189". The record is from RNAcentral. Lineage: Eukaryota; Metazoa; Chordata; Mammalia; Primates; Hominidae.
CAAAAAUUCAUUUGAAAAAAAAUCUGGUUAGAUUUCAUGGUAAUCUCUCCAGGGACACAAUAAUAAAUGCAGAGAGGUGUUCAUAAAGAGCAAUAUCAGAUGGCACCCCAAAAAAGGAUAUGAAAGAACACCAAAAGGGAACUCUAAAGAUUUAGUUGGAAAAAUGCAGAGAGGUGUUCAUAAAGAGCAAUAUCAGAUGGCACCCCAAAAAAGGAUAUGAAAGAACACCAAAAGGGAACUCUAAAGAUUUAGUUGGAAAAGUAGCUUCAGUCAUCCUAGCCUAGUCUGUGAUGCUGGGAAAAAACGUAAUAUGCUGUUUAUUGCAGCACUAUUCACAAUAGCAAAGACUUGGAACCAACCCAAAUGUCCAACAAUGAUAGACUGAA